CAGCAGUCGCCGCGGUAAUACGUAGGGUGCGAGCGUUAAUCGGAAUUACUGGGCGUAAAGCGUGCGCAGGCGGUUGUGUAAGUCUGCUGUGAAAUCCCCGGGCUCAACCUGGGAAUGGCAGUGGAUACUGGCUCGCUAGAGUGUGUCAGAGGAUGGUGGAAUUCCCGGUGUAGCGGUGAAAUGCGUAGAGAUCGGGAGGAACAUCAGUGGCGAAGGCGGCCAUCUGGGACAACACUGACGCUGAGGCACGAAAGCGUGGGGAGCAAACAGGAUUAGAUACCCCAGUAGUCCCUGUCUCUUAUAC
This 304-nucleotide ribosomal RNA is filed under the name uncultured bacterium. Its description in RNAcentral is "partial 16S ribosomal RNA". It matches the Rfam family "Bacterial small subunit ribosomal RNA", at positions 509 to 807 of the family's 1533-position model. The record is from RNAcentral.